Molecule: ribosomal RNA, 509 nt
Filed under: uncultured bacterium
Lineage: Bacteria
Description: partial 16S ribosomal RNA
Rfam family: Bacterial small subunit ribosomal RNA
Source: RNAcentral
GGCGAACGCUGGCGGCGUGCCUAACACAUGCAAGUUGAGCGACGAACCAGGGCUUGCCCUGGGGCAAAGCAGCGAACGGGUGAGUAACACGUGGGUAACCUACCCCGAUAACCGGGACAACCCGAGGAAACUCGGGCUAAUACCGGAUGUGCUCACUGGACUUCGGUUCAGUGCGUAAAGGAAGCUUCGGCCUCCGUAUCGGGAGGGGCCCGCGGCCCAUUAGUUAGUUGGUGAGGUAACGGCUCACCAAGACCGCGAUGGGUAGCUGGUCUGAGAGGACGAUCGGCCACAGUGGGACGGAGACACGGCCCAGACUCCUACGGGAGGCAGCAGUGGGGAAUCUUGCGAAAUGCGCGAAAGCGUGACGCAGCAACGCCGCGUGGGGGAAGAAGGCCUUCGGGUUGUAAACCCCUUUCAGGAGGGACGAAGGUUCGGCGGUGAAUAGCCGGCCGGACUGACGGUACCUGCACAAGAAGCCCCGGCUAACUACGUGCCAGCCGCCGCGGUAA